AUUGAACGCUGGCGGCAUGCCUUACACAUGCAAGUCGAACGGCAGCAUGGGUGCUUGCACCUGAUGGCGAGUGGCGAACGGGUGAGUAAUGCAUCGGAACGUACCCGGAAGUGGGGGAUAACGUAGCGAAAGUUACGCUAAUACCGCAUAUUCUGUGAGCAGGAAAGCGGGGGAGUCGCAAGACCUCGCGCUUCCGGAGCGGCCGAUGUCGGAUUAGCUAGUUGGCGGGGUAAAGGCCCACCAAGGCAACGAUCCGUAGCGGGUCUGAGAGGAUGAUCCGCCACACUGGGACUGAGACACGGCCCAGACUCCUACGGGAGGCAGCAGUGGGGAAUUUUGGACAAUGGGCGCAAGCCUGAUCCAGCCAUGCCGCGUGAGU
Molecule: ribosomal RNA, 379 nt
Filed under: uncultured bacterium
Lineage: Bacteria
Description: bacterial SSU rRNA
Rfam family: Bacterial small subunit ribosomal RNA
Source: RNAcentral